AUCAUCAUCAUUCAUAUACCAUUUUUGUUCUUAUGUUUGUUUUUUGUAUUUGAAUGGUUUUGUUUUCUUUAUGCUUUUUUUUGUAUUUGGGCUUGGUGUAUUGGCGUACAGGUAGCUAGGUGAUUGGUUUUCAGAUGAAUCAAUAUUGAUUUAAAACACGAAAUAACAAGGACAGAGCAGCUAUUGCUUAUGUAUACCUCAUUUACACUUAAGAUAUUCUCUUUGUGUCUGGGGCCGAAUAGUUUAAGCACUGUUAGACGUCAAUACAUACAGAACAAGCUACACAGCGACGGUCACCCAAAAAAGCGAUUGUUAUGAACAAGCAAGUCCACGUCCAAGACCCGGAAUGUCGGGUCGAUUGUCGGCCGGUUAAUUUACUUGCUUUGAUUCGCCAGUCCUUCGGUUUGUCAGGCCCUAGGUCAGGCUUCGGUUUGUAAAGAAAAAAAAAUCGAGUCGUGUUCGAUUUUUAGAAGUCGUGUCAAUAUAUGAAUAUCAUCAUCAAAAUCGGCCCGACAAAUCGGCGCAUGUGAAUUGUUAUCACAUUCAUCCCAUCCAGAAGGGUCGAAUAAAAUACCCAAAGGAAAGCUGUUGUGUGUGAUAGAUUAGAAGUGAGUGGUAUAAUUGACCAAUGAACUGUAUCCAGUCACAUGGCAUUGGCUGAAAUGUUUGAUCAUCCCUAAGUAUGUCAUUUUUUUUUUAAAGUUCUAUUUUUAUUAUACUCAAGGUCAAAUAUAGAGAAAUAAGUUCAUAAUCUCAGUCAUCCGCGCUGUAGAAUUCAUUACAGCCAUUCUUUUUAACCGGACAAAUUAUGUUUUGCAAGUUGCGCUACAUAGCGCGCGUUUCUGUCUAUCCUCCUUCGAUUUGAAAAAUAAAUACUUCCCACGCAAUGUUAAGUUAUUACUUGCGUACAAAAGAGUAUGGUAAACGAAAAAUUACCCGGAAACGUUAUACAAAACACUAUUUUUGUUAGCUUUGACAUUUUGCAAAUAAACAUAUUCGCAAGGUGGUUUUCCAUGAUAAUGUUGUUUAGAAAGAGACGAGAGCUAUCACGUGACACGGCUCGAGUUUGGGUACCCUGUGUUUGCGCCAUUGUUGUUUCCAGAAUUGUACCGUCAAGGUCAAUGCCAAUGUCAAGUUGAACACGAAAGCGCAUUUGUUGACUGUAAUCACCCCAGUUAUUGGAUAAUGGAGUUUUGCCAUGUCGUUUCGUAGAGUACUGUUAUCUGCCUCUACGCACAGAUUGGCAGCCUUGUCAUGGCGGACAGCCUCGGCACCGUUAUGUUACAAUUGUGAACUAAAUCCCUCAUUAAAGCGGACACCUCGCUUUAUUUUUUGCGCUUUGUUUAUAUACUAUUCAGCUGCUCUAUUUGCCACAGGAGUUAUGGCUUAUCCGCUCUUGUUUGACUCUGAUAAUGAAAUGAGGGCGCCAUUAUUCGCACUUUUCGUGAUCCUGAACCCAUUUUUCUACGGUUUUGAUUCACUGAUGAUUUUUAUCGCUAGUACUUGCUUGUCCCUGAGUCAUUCCAGACACUUGUUUGCCUUGGGGAUAUGUCCCUUGGUGAUACUACCACACGUUUGCCAGCUGUGUGCCUGUGUAAUGCGAACUGCCUUUGCUUUCAUGCGACUUGGCACUUUGGCUGCUAGGAUCGGUUCCCUAAAAUUCUACGACGUUCUUCACUUUUUCACUUCUUCUUGUCACUUCUUCCCAGAAUGCUCCUCGAGCCCUAGAACAGGCCCUACCCAUGUGUAGGAUUUCGUGAUCAAUUGUAAUUUCCGUUUUCUUGUUUUUCAAUAAAACGAUGAAUAAUAAAUACAUGAACUUCGGUGUUGAUAUAGAUGGUUCAAUUCAACGCACGAUAUCCUUAGUCUGUUUUGCCCUCCUCUUUCCCCCUUUUUUAUUGAUGUUCUUUUCUGUUUGAGGUCGUGGGGAGUGGAAGGGGAGAAUGGAACAGCACACCUAGUUGUCUCAUUUUGAAGAUUGUUUCCCUGCAUAAAGUCGCUACCUCCCCCCCCCUUCCACCCCGCUUGUUUAGUAGAACGCAUGCCGUAUCUACCUCACAUCAAAAUGUGCUUUAAUCCCACAAAGAAACCGAAAGAAUUAAACAUAGACGUUCGUGCAAUAAAUAUCUAAACAAAUUUACUUGGCUUACCUAGUAUUGGAAGAGUCAUCAGAAACCCGCUGAAGAUAUAUAACAAGCGCAUAGGAGUGGCCCAAUAACCGGCGUUAAUUGACUGCCGGUGUCUUAUUAUAGAACGACCCGAACACGAUAGGGCGCAAUAAUACUUUUGAGGCGUUCUGUUAGAAAGCUAGAGCGCGUUCGGUAAGCCAAACCGCGGUAUCGAAACCUUGACUAAAAGAAAAGUUAGUGCUAUACCCACGCUGCAUACGGUGAGAAAAUUAUAUUGAUUCUGCGCAUGCUAUUCAAUUAAAGGUGAUAAUUAACUCUACUCUGCGCAUGUCACUUAGUUUAUAGCCGCUGUAUUUGGCCACCUGCCGCGCUUUCCUAGUUUUCUAACUACAUUCUUUAGAUUAUCCCAAGACCAGGAACUAGGCAUCCGAGCUUGGUACUCCACUGUUAAACUCCAUCCAUUUUAUUCUUCUCCCACUACUGUCUCGAUACCGGUCAAUGAGUAAUGGACCCCCUACCAUCUCCGGAACCAUCAGUGCGCAUGCUCAGAGCCUUGACGCGAUUUCCAUAAUCUCUAUCUCCACAGGGUUGCCGAAUCCAGACCGUUAUGGCGUGUUGUGAGGAUCGAUCUCCUUUUUUUUUUCUCUUUCCGUCAACUGUUCGGCGGGUUGUAUUUUUCUAUAUGUGAUAAUUGAACAUGGAAGCCGAGGUUGUUAUUUUCAUUUAUUUAUUUUUAUUUUUACCCCAAUAUAGCGAUACCCGGCAUAGUAUGACAUCUUCUAACCCGACAGCAAUAAAAUAUAUGGGAAACAAUCUCAAUUUCACGAUUUUUUAAUGUGCCUUGCCAUAUCGUAAUAUCCAAGUUUCAAAUGCAUCGCUUUCUGAGUCUGCGCGAAUUAAGUAGCUUUGCAAGGUUUAAUACCAGCGCCGGAAAAAUGCAAGUCUCCGCCUAUUAGUUACCAUUGUUAGAGCAGGAAAGACAGGCUUUGCGGAACCUCGAUCAAUUUUUUUUGUCGCUUUCUCCGCUCGUCAAACGACAUCAUCUUCCCUUCCUCUUUUUCGCCACAUGCCCAUCCUACUCUCAGAAAUGGAGAGCUUGGGAUUGUGGAGAAAUCCAGGUAUAAUAAAGCGCGUCUAAAGUGAGCCGAUCUCGUGAUCUGUUCAGUAGCCAGUGGUGCUCACGCGUUGAGCUCGCUCCAUCGCAGCCUCUCCUCCAAUCAACGACUAGCAGAAUUGAUAAUUACGUAAGCAAAACACACGCAAUAAAAAUUGCUUAGCAUGUUCGACACAAGACAGGAUCACAAGCGCUACCAGGCGAGCAACAGUCAAUACUCCAGCGCGCGAAAAAAGGAGCCUUGAAGACCGAACUCUAACACGUGGCUUCUGCCUGCUUGAGACAUCGCUUGCUAUCGUGGUCAGUGACGAUUUUAUUCCUUAUCGAAGCCGAGGUUAAGGGUGCUUAAGUGUAAGUUCGAAGAGCUCGGGGAAGAAGCAAGCGUCGAGAUGUGCAAGCCGAAGUCGCCUGACGAGCGAGAACUGUCAACGGCGGGGCCUUCCGCCAGCGGCACAUCCACAACCGAACUCAACAACUCCCUCGUUGUAUCGCACGUUGCUGCCCAGCUAGCACAGAUAGGCGAUAAACUGCAGCUCAAAUAUGAGCAGAAUAAGAAAAAAGACGAGGCGCAGUUCACCAUGAGAGCAGUGUGUGUUAUAGCCCUGUUCGUGGUACUUAGGAUGACCUUAUGAGAUGAACGGUCGCACCAUGGACAUACCACAUAGCAUACGGAUGCGAAAAAACUAUACCUACAUACAACAUCAGCAGCGUGUGAAAACUAUCGCUUGCGAAACAAGAUCUUUAACACAGUAACAAGUUAUCUUCGUGCGAAACUUCUUGCAAAGCCUAAUUGCAAAGGGACUAAAACGGCAUGUCCCGAUAGAAACCGCUCUUUCCUUGCGGGUAGGCAAGGCCUAGGGAGAAAGGGAGCGCCAGUUUACUCCCAAAACACACGCAGCGCUGCGAGAUUUUCACUUGCUGUCCUUUCUUGGGAGGCUAAGCGUUGAGAAUCUCAAUUCAACAUCUUAGAUGUUACGUGGGGCCUUGAACUAGGCCAUGGACAGUUUUAUAAAAGUGCUUUUUCUUCCAUAAAAAGGCUCGGGAAACUUGCUGUACCCACCAGCAGUAAAAGGAUUUUUCAUGAUUUUGCUAGUUGGCUACAUUUAUUAUUUUUAUUUCUAUUCAUAAAAAAGAAAUUUCUGUUUAUUUUUUUAAACUAAAAGACUUUUUGCUAAAAAAAAUCUUUUAAAAAUUCUUUCAAGAAAAAAUUUUGCUGAGCUUGUCACUGUGAAGAAAGAAAUCACUUUAUAAGAUCUUCUCUUAGCAUAGCCAUUGCAACCAUUUAUAGUAUAUUACCUCGUAAACUCUCAAAUAUUCUCAUAUUACGAAAACUAUACUGAAAAAUUGUAUUAUAUAUACGGUACUAUAUACUUUUAGUAACUUAGUUCAGAAACUAAAUUAAGUAAAUAAGUUGUUGUGGUCUGUUUAUAUGUGUGUUCUAUUGCAAAUGGAGACCAUUUGUGGGCAGACUAGUUAAAGUGUUCUUCUAUUCUAUAGCACGUUUUCAGUAUUUCCGGUAAACUGUGCUAUCAAAUGAACAUUGGAACUUAAAAAAUAGCUGCGUAGGAGUUUCGUGGACUGCAGGGAAAUAAAAAUAACUCAUUUUGUGAGUAAUUCAAUUGGACUGCGAUACGCGAUCGCCUGGGAAAUGGCGCGCGCCUACCAUCCGCAGUGUUGUGGUGUUUAUGAUGGAAAAGGCCUUUAACAUGGAUCCCACUUCGUUUAUCUUUUAAUCUUGCCAGUUGGCUUAGAAUAACGGCCUUGGAAUACCGUCGUAUGUGUCCUCUUAUGCAUGUACCAGUGUAAUUUAUCAUAGAUAUUAAGAGAAACAUCGUCAUUGCGUAUUCAAAGCCAUCCUCCAUUAUCGCUGAAUGUACACUUUUAGGUUUCGGAAAUGAAGGUACGAAAAGCGGAUUGAGAUUGCCUUGUUGAUCACACCUCUAGAAUAAAGUUGAACUUGUUGUUAUUUUAUCAAGUAAGAAUAAAUAAGCUAGAGAUGUUACUAUGCAAUUGGCGACGCACACGAUAAUAUUUACGAGUGGUUUGAUGUAAGGUCAAAAGCUUUUCGUCCCUUCGCAUCUCUCUUAGGACAAUCUCAAGUUAAACGGCCACACAAGCCAUGUCAACAAAACAACUUCUCUGUAAUGUGUAACUGGAAUAAAUGUUCUAUCAGAGCUAAA
Molecule: long non-coding RNA, 5423 nt
Organism: Nematostella vectensis (starlet sea anemone)
Lineage: Eukaryota; Metazoa; Cnidaria; Anthozoa; Actiniaria; Edwardsiidae
Exons: 2
Source: RefSeq, a predicted model, not a curated record